RNAcentral lists this ribosomal RNA (405 nucleotides) under grassland soil clone saf1_313. RNAcentral describes it as "bacterial SSU rRNA". It matches the Rfam family "Bacterial small subunit ribosomal RNA", at positions 45 to 498 of the family's 1533-position model. The record is from RNAcentral.
GGCCUAACACAUGCAAGUCGAGCGCCCAGCAAUGGGAGCGGCAGACGGGAUAGUAACACGUGGGAACGUACCCUUCAGUUCGGAACAACCCAGGGAAACUUGGGCUAAUACCGAAUACGUCCGUAAGGAGAAAGAUUUAUCGCUGAAGGAUCGGCCCGCGUCUGAUUAGCUAGUUGGUGAGGUAACGGCUCACCAAGGCGACGAUCAGUAGCUGGUCUGAGAGGAUGAUCAGCAUCACUGGGACUGAGACACGGCCCAGACUCCUACGGGAGGCAGCAGUGGGGAAUAUUGGACAAUGGGCGCAAGCCUGAUCCAGCCAUGCCGCGUGGAUGAUGAAGGCCCUAGGGUUGUAAAGUCCUUUCGGCGGGGAAGAUAAUGACGGUACCCGCAGNAGAAGCCCCGGCU